This 1230-nucleotide ribosomal RNA is filed under the name Candidatus Phytoplasma solani. RNAcentral's name for it is "bacterial SSU rRNA". It matches the Rfam family "Bacterial small subunit ribosomal RNA", at positions 157 to 1397 of the family's 1533-position model. The record is from RNAcentral. Lineage: Bacteria; Bacillati; Mycoplasmatota; Mollicutes; Acholeplasmatales; Acholeplasmataceae.
GACCUGCUAAGACUGGAUAGGAGAUAAGAAGGCAUCUUUUUAUUUUUAAAAGACCUAGCAAUAGGUAUGCUUAGGGAAGAGCUUGCGUCACAUUAGUUAGUUGGUGGGGUAAUGGCCUACCAAGACGAUGAUGUGUAGCCGGGCUGAGAGGUCGAACGGCCACAUUGGGACUGAGACACGGCCCAAACUCCUACGGGAGGCAGCAGUAAGGAAUUUUCGGCAAUGGAGGAAACUCUGACCGAGCAAUGCCGCGUGAACGAUGAAGUAUUUCGGUACGUAAAGUUCUUUUAUUAGGGAAGAAAAGAUGGUGGAAAAACCAUUAUGACGGUACCUAAUGAAUAAGCCCCGGCUAACUAUGUGCCAGCAGCCGCGGUAAUACAUAGGGGGCAAGCGUUAUCCGGAAUUAUUGGGCGUAAAGGGUGCGUAGGCGGUUAAAUAAGUUUAUGGUCUAAGUGCAACGCUCAACGUUGUGAUGCUAUAAAAACUGUUUAGCUAGAGUUGGAUAGAGGCAAGUGGAAUUCCGUGUGUAGUGGUAAAAUGCGUAAAUAUACGGAGGAACACCAGAAGCGAAGGCGGCUUGCUGGGUCUUAACUGACGCUGAGGCACGAAAGCGUGGGGAGCAAACAGGAUUAGAUACCCUGGUAGUCCACGCCCUAAACGAUGAGUACUAAACGUUGGAUAAAACCAGUGUUGAAGUUAACACAUUAAGUACUCCGCCUGAGUAGUACGUACGCAAGUAUGAAACUUAAAGGAAUUGACGGGACUCCGCACAAGCGGUGGAUCAUGUUGUUUAAUUCGAAGGUACCCGAAAAACCUCACCAGGUCUUGACAUGCUUUUGCAAAGCUGUAGAAAUACAGUGGAGGUUAUCAGAAGCACAGGUGGUGCAUGGUUGUCGUCAGCUCGUGUCGUGAGAUGUUGGGUUAAGUCCCGCAACGAGCGCAACCCUUGUUGUUAAUUGCCAUCAUUAAGUUGGGGACUUUAGCAAGACUGCCAAUGAUAAAUUGGAGGAAGGUGGGGACGACGUCAAAUCAUCAUGCCCCUUAUGACCUGGGCUACAAACGUGAUACAAUGGCUGUUACAAAGGGUAGCUAAAGCGUAAGCUUCUGGCGAAUCUCAAAAAAGCAGUCUCAGUUCGGAUUGAAGUCUGCAACUCGACUUCAUGAAGUUGGAAUCGCUAGUAAUCGCGAAUCAGCAUGUCGCGGUGAAUACGUUCUGUACACACCCCGGGG